ACUUUUGUAACAUUAUCGUAUUAAGUAACAUUUAAUGUAACACUUUAAUAUAAUGUAACACUUUGUUGUAACACAUGAAUAUUAGGUAUCACUUGAUUGUAACACUUAUGAAUUUAUUUAUGCUCAAUCCUUUUUUUCUUAUCAGGUUUAUUUAUUUAUUUAUUUUAUUUUUAUUCUUCUAACCCUUUAUUUUUUUUUAAUAGUUCUAACCCUUUACUUUCUUUUUUUUCUUUUGUUCUUUUUAAUUAUUAUUCUUUUUUCCAUUAUAUCUCAUCUUAUUCUCGAUCUCAAAUAGUUGUUCUCCUUCUCCUCGAAGAUGAAGUUGCAUACGCCCUACCGCAGCCGCAGCGACAACCAUAACCACCGCUGACCACAAAUUCUCUCUCCCUUUUCCUUUUUUCACUCCUUUAGCAGUCUAGUUUUGUCUUCUUCAUCUCGAUCUUAAUUUCCUCCAAUGGCCGCAAUUUUCUAGAUAUUUUCCCGCAGAUUAAUCAAAGAUGCCCUCUUUUCCCCCAAUUUUACUUGCAGAUAAGACAUUGCCUUUGUGAAAUUAGGGUCAUGUGAGUUCUUGAUAAUGGCGACAGAUGUUAAUCAUAAGCUUCGAUCAAAUUGCACUGGCCUUCGAUUCAAUAAAGGUUUGGUUUGCUUGGACUACUGGAAUAAUAAUGCAUUUUGCAUAGCUUUUGCCAUUCCUACUACUGUGAAAUCCGAAUAAUGCCAAGGAUAUAAAAGAUGAAGCCUAUAAAUUAGGCUUUUGCUCUAUGUAUAAAAGUCGAUAGAGCAAGGGUGCAAGUUGCGACAAGGCAGGGUAUAAUAGCCCCUUGUCUUUAAGAUUACUAGUUUUACUAUUGUAAAAAAAGAGUAUACUUGUGUAUUUGUAUAUAUACUAAUUUUUUUUUUUUUUUUGGUGAAGGAGAGGGGCGAUGCCCCUGGAUGUAUUUAUACAAAUGUAAAUAUAGUAAUUAUAAUAAGUUAUAAUCAAUGUUAAAUCAUUUUAUUA
This is a long non-coding RNA of Chenopodium quinoa (quinoa), 1000 nucleotides long. RefSeq lists it as uncharacterized. The record is from RefSeq and is a predicted model, not a curated record. The transcript is spliced from 4 exons. Lineage: Eukaryota; Viridiplantae; Streptophyta; Magnoliopsida; Caryophyllales; Amaranthaceae.